Molecule: non-coding RNA, 122 nt
Organism: Brassica napus (rape)
Lineage: Eukaryota; Viridiplantae; Streptophyta; Magnoliopsida; Brassicales; Brassicaceae
Source: Rfam
AGAAUAUAAGAAACUGUUUCUUAACUUUUAACUAAAAAAGCUAAGAACCGACUCUUAACUGUAUCUAAGAGCCGGUUCUUAGUUUUUUUAGUUAAAACUUAAGAGACGAUUUUUUAUAUUCC